GUGACCUUUGUGGAGCAGAUGGAUCCACGCUACCAGGUUGGCUCGGCAUCCCCCCUCUUCCACAGAAGCUCAGUUCGGCGGCUGCUCUGUUCUUUCAGACACACGCACCGCGGCGGCCAUUCCCCACCGGCGAGAUGUCGACAGACGGCCUCGAACUCGACGGGAGGGGUGUAGCAGACAUCGCCGGAUGGAAUUGUGCUGUGUUCCCAGGAUUCCAUGAGUGCGCCAGCUCUAGAGAUCGACAAUGGCGGCAAAGCACAGGAAGGUGGAGAUGGACAGAGAUACGAUGUGCUCUGAAGCCACUAGCGGCUGGACAAGGAGGUUCGGUUGUCUGUCCUCCGAGUGGAGUCCCAGUAUUCCAUGAGUACGCCGGAUGUCGAGAUUGACAAGGAUGGCAAAGCAUAGCCAGAUGUAGAUGCAGCGAGAUACGAGGUUUGCUCAGAAGCUACGAGUUGCUGGACACGAAGGGUUAGGAUCGGGAAAGCGCCGGAUGAGACGGAGAUGAACAUUGACAGGAAAACAAUGCUUGAAUUGUCUGUUUGCGCUUAUGCGGAAGUGCACAAACUGGGGGAUGGUUGGACAUCGCCGCAAUGCAUGCGGUACUAAAAGGAGCGGACCUUUUUAGCGUAACUUCCUCUAGAUUAAAACUGGUUGUGAUGUUUGAUGCCAUCAAGUCUCCAUGUGGUUGUGCGGUAGUUUCUCUAUUUCGGAUGUCAGAACUUUAAUUUGUGCUACCAACAGUAAUUCUCCUGAUGUGUGUUAACUUUGUCUGAACUUUUUUGCUGUGCGAUUGCAGUUCUGUUGCUUGGUCAA
Molecule: long non-coding RNA, 813 nt
Organism: Aegilops tauschii subsp. strangulata
Lineage: Eukaryota; Viridiplantae; Streptophyta; Magnoliopsida; Poales; Poaceae
Source: RefSeq, a predicted model, not a curated record